GAUGAACGCUAGCGGCAGGCCUAAUACAUGCAAGUCGAACGAGAUUAAGAGGCUUGCUUCUUAUGAAAGUGGCGCACGGGUGCGUAACGCGUAUGCAACCUACCUUAAUCAGGGGGAUAGCCCGAAGAAAUUCGGAUUAAGACCGCAUAAAAACACAGGAUAGCGUUAUCCAAUGUUCAAAUAUUUAUAGGAUUAAGAUGGGCAGGCGUGUCAUUAGCUAGUUGGCGGGGUAACGGCCCACCAAGGCGACGAUGACUAGGCGAUCUGAGAGGAUGACCCCCCAAACGGGUACUGAGACACGGACAAGACUCCUACGGGAGGCAGCAGUAAGGAAUAUUGGGCAAUGGAGGGAACUCUGAACCAGCCAGGCCGCGUGAAGGAAGACAGCCCUCUGGGUCGUAAACUGCUGUUAUUCGGGAAUAAAACUUUCUACGUGUAGGAAGCUGAAGGUACCGAAGGAAUAAGGAUCGGCUAACUACGUG
RNAcentral lists this ribosomal RNA (482 nucleotides) under uncultured bacterium. Its description in RNAcentral is "partial 16S ribosomal RNA". It matches the Rfam family "Bacterial small subunit ribosomal RNA", at positions 28 to 507 of the family's 1533-position model. The record is from RNAcentral.